GUCGGGGUAGUGACCGGUGAAUAUCGUGGGGCGGCUGGGCACGCA
This 45-nucleotide small RNA is filed under the name Mycobacterium kansasii. RNAcentral's name for it is "Mycobacterium sRNA Ms_AS-5". It matches the Rfam family "Mycobacterium sRNA Ms_AS-5". The record is from Rfam by way of RNAcentral. Lineage: Bacteria; Bacillati; Actinomycetota; Actinomycetes; Mycobacteriales; Mycobacteriaceae.